GGGUUGUGAGGUUAAGCGACUAAGCGUACACGGUGGAUGCCUAGGCAGUCAGAGGCGAUGAAGGGCGUGCUAAUCUGCGAUAAGCGUCGGUAAGCUGAUAUGAAGCGUUAUACCCGACGAUACCCGAAUGGGGAAACCCAGUGUGUUUCGACACACUAUCAUGACAUGAAUACAUAGUGUCAUGAGGCGAACCGGGGGAACUGAAACAUCUCAGUACCCCGAGGAAAAGAAAUCAACCGAGAUUCCCCCAGUAGCGGCGAGCGAACGGGGAGGAGCCCAGAACCUGAAUCAGUUUGUGUGUUAGUGGAAGCGUCUGGAAAGUCGCACAGUAAAGGGUGAUAGUCCCGUACACAAAAAUGCACAAGCUGUGAGUUCGAUGAGUAGGGCGGGACACGUGACAUCCUGUCUGAAUAUGGGGGGACCAUCCUCCAAGGCUAAAUACUCCUGACUGACCGAUAGUGAACCAGUACCGUGAGGGAAAGGCGAAAAGAACCCCGGCGAGGGGAGUGAAAUAGAACCUGAAACCGUGUACGUACAAGCAGUGGGAGCCUACUUGUUAGGUGACUGCGUACCUUUUGUAUAAUGGGUCAGCGACUUAUAUUCUGUAGCAAGGUUAACCGUAUAGGGGAGCCGCAGGGAAACCGAGUCUUAACUGGGCGUUAAGUUGCAGGGUAUAGACCCGAAACCCGGUGAUCUAGCCAUGGGCAGGUUGAAGGUUGGGUAACACUAACUGGAGGACCGAACCGACUAAUGUUGAAAAAUUAGCGGAUGACUUGUGGCUGGGGGUGAAAGGCCAAUCAAACCGGGAGAUAGCUGGUUCUCCCCGAAAGCUAUUUAGGUAGCGCCUCGUGAAUUCAUCUUCGGGGGUAGAGCACUGUUUCGGCUAGGGGGUCAUCCCGACUUACCAACCCGAUGCAAACUACGAAUACCGAAGAAUGUUAUCACGGGAGACACACGGCGGGUGCUAACGUUCGUCGUGAAGAGGGAAACAACCCAGACCGCCAGCUAAGGUCCCAAAGUCAUGGUUAAGUGGGAAACGAUGUGGGAAGGCACAGACAGCCAGGAUGUUGGCUUAGAAGCAGCCAUCAUUUAAAGAAAGCGUAAUAGCUCACUGGUCGAGUCGGCCUGCGCGGAAGAUGUAACGGGGCUAAACCAUGCACCGAAGCUGCGGCAGCGACACUUAGGUGUUGUUGGGUAGGGGAGCGUUCUGUAAGCCGUCGAAGGUGGCCUGUGAGGGCUGCUGGAGGUAUCAGAAGUGCGAAUGCUGACAUAAGUAACGAUAAUGCGGGUGAAAAACCCGCACGCCGGAAGACCAAGGGUUCCUGUCCAACGUUAAUCGGGGCAGGGUGAGUCGACCCCUAAGGCGAGGCUGAAAAGCGUAGUCGAUGGGAAACAGGUUAAUAUUCCUGUACUCGGUGUUACUGCGAAGGGGGGACGGAGAAAGCUAGGUUAUCCGGGCGACGGUUGUCCCGGUUUAAGCGUGAAGGUGGAUGACUUUGGUAAAUCCGGGUCGUCAUUAACACUGAGGCGUGAUGACGAGUCACUACGGUGAUGAAGUAACUAAUGCUACGCUUCCAGGAAAAGCCUCUAAGCUCCAGGUAACAUCAAAUCGUACCCCAAACCGACACAGGUGGUCAGGUAGAGAAUACUCAGGCGCUUGAGAGAACUCGGGUGAAGGAACUAGGCAAAAUGGUGCCGUAACUUCGGGAGAAGGCACGCUGAUGGUAAGUGAAGUGACUUGCUCAUGGAGCUGAAAUCAGUCGAAGAUACCAGCUGGCUGCAACUGUUUAAUAAAAACACAGCACUGUGCAAACACGAAAGUGGACGUAUACGGUGUGACGCCUGCCCGGUGCCGGAAGGUUAAUUGAUGGGGUCAGCCGCAAGGCGAAGCUCUUGAUCGAAGCCCCGGUAAACGGCGGCCGUAACUAUAACGGUCCUAAGGUAGCGAAAUUCCUUGUCGGGUAAGUUCCGACCUGCACGAAUGGCGUAAUGAUGGCCAGGCUGUCUCCACCCGAGACUCAGUGAAAUUGAACUCGCUGUGAAGAUGCAGUGUACCCGCGGCAAGACGGAAAGACCCCGUGAACCUUUACUAUAGCUUGACACUGAACCUUGAGCCUUGAUGUGUAGGAUAGGUGGGAGGCUUUGAAGCGUGGACGCCAGUCUGCGUGGAGCCAACCUUGAAAUACCACCCUUUAAUGUUUGAUGUUCUAACGUGGACCCGUAAUCCGGGUUGCGGACAGUGUCUGGUGGGUAGUUUGACUGGGGCGGUCUCCUCCCAAAGCGUAACGGAGGAGCACGAAGGUUAGCUAAUCCUGGUCGGACAUCAGGAGGUUAGUGCAAAGGCAUAAGCUAGCUUGACUGCGAGAGUGACAGCUCGAGCAGGUGCGAAAGCAGGUCUUAGUGAUCCGGUGGUUCUGAAUGGAAGGGCCAUCGCUCAACGGAUAAAAGGUACUCCGGGGAUAACAGGCUGAUACCGCCCAAGAGUUCAUAUCGACGGCGGUGUUUGGCACCUCGAUGUCGGCUCAUCACAUCCUGGGGCUGAAGUAGGUCCCAAGGGUAUGGCUGUUCGCCAUUUAAAGUGGUACGCGAGCUGGGUUUAGAACGUCGUGAGACAGUUCGGUCCCUAUCUGCCGUGGGCGUUGGAAGAUUGAGAGGGGUUGCUCCUAGUACGAGAGGACCGGAGUGAACGCACCACUGGUGUACGGGUUGUGAUGCCAAUUGCAUUGCCCGGUAGCUAAGUGCGGAAGAGAUAACCGCUGAAAGCAUCUAAGCGGGAAACUUGCCUCGAGAUGAGUCUUCCCUGGGCACUAGAUGCCCCUGAAGGGCCGUUGAAGACGACGACGUAGAUAGGCUGGGUGUGUAAGCGUAGCGAUACGUUGAGCUAACCAGUACUAAUGACCCGAGAGGCUUAACCUUACAACACCGAAGGUGUUU
Molecule: ribosomal RNA, 2934 nt
Filed under: Pectobacterium odoriferum
Lineage: Bacteria; Pseudomonadati; Pseudomonadota; Gammaproteobacteria; Enterobacterales; Pectobacteriaceae
Description: bacterial LSU rRNA
Rfam family: Bacterial large subunit ribosomal RNA
Source: RNAcentral